GUGCUCACUAUGACAGCACAUAAACUAAAUCUGGAACAUUAUAGAGCGAAUUAGCAUGGCCCCAUGUAAGGAUGACAUGAAAAUCCAUGAAGCAUUUCACAUUCUU
RNAcentral lists this small nuclear RNA (106 nucleotides) under Castor canadensis (American beaver). Lineage: Eukaryota; Metazoa; Chordata; Mammalia; Rodentia; Castoridae. The record is from RNAcentral.